Molecule: ribosomal RNA, 576 nt
Filed under: uncultured bacterium
Lineage: Bacteria
Description: bacterial SSU rRNA
Rfam family: Bacterial small subunit ribosomal RNA
Source: RNAcentral
CGGGUGAGUAGCGUGGCGGACGGGCGAGUAACACGUAAUCAAGCUGCCUGCGAGACGGGGAUAACUCGGGGAAACCCGAAGUAAGACCCGAUGGUCUCACGAGAUCGCAUGGUCAUGUGAGUAAAUGGACGGGACCCUCCGGGGCCGUCUGCUUGCAGAGGUGAUUGCGGCCCAUCAGUUAGUUGGUAGGGUAAUGGCCUACCAAGACAACGACGGGUAGCCGGCCUAAGAGGGUGGUCGGUCGCACUGGGACUGAGACACUGCCCAGACUCCUACGGGAGGCUGCAGUCGAGAAUCUUCCGCAAUGGGCGAAAGCCUGACGGAGCGACGCCGCGUGGAGGACGAAGGCCUUCGGGUUGUAAACUCCUGUCACGAGUUAAGAAGUCCGUUGGACGAACAGUCCGGCGGAUUGACGUAAGCUCGAGAGGAAGCACUGGCUAACUCUGUGCCAGCAGCCGCGGUAAUACAGAGAGUGCGAACGUUGUUCGGAAUUACUGGGCUUAAAGCGCGCGUAGGCGGCGUAACAAGUGUCGGGUGAAAUCCCACGGCUCACCCGUGGAACUGCCCGGCAAACUG